UCAAACAGCGUCGGAACGACGUAGAAUGCGGUCGAUCUUGUCUGGGAGGACGCGGUCUUCGGCGCGCAACAAGCGCAGCCCCGGACAAGUCCGGUGGAAGAUCCGGAUCGACCAUCUCGAAUGCGGGGCGCGAGCCCCGCAUUUUUUU
Molecule: small RNA, 148 nt
Filed under: Aureimonas pseudogalii
Lineage: Bacteria; Pseudomonadati; Pseudomonadota; Alphaproteobacteria; Hyphomicrobiales; Aurantimonadaceae
Description: Alphaproteobacterial sRNA ar9
Rfam family: Alphaproteobacterial sRNA ar9
Source: Rfam by way of RNAcentral